This is a long non-coding RNA of Nelumbo nucifera (sacred lotus), 1632 nucleotides long. RefSeq lists it as uncharacterized. Lineage: Eukaryota; Viridiplantae; Streptophyta; Magnoliopsida; Proteales; Nelumbonaceae. The record is from RefSeq and is a predicted model, not a curated record.
CAAACCCAGUUACCCACAACGCCUACAAAAUCACAGAAUACCUACAAUCUGCAAAUCUUGCAACUAAACGGCGUGAAGUUCGGCCGAGUUUACAAGAAGCGAAGAAGAAUGCAUCGUUGCAGAGUCUUUGUUAACGGUUGCAGAAACAUCCAUUACUCCCCUUCGAAGCUCUUCUCUCAGUAACAAGCAGUCCGCCGAAAAGAUGCUGGUCCAAUGGCUUCUCUUCUCAGGAAUCAAUCUGUCAUUAGAUUUCGUGGUCUUGGCACGAUUAAAUUUCUACAGGACCUCUUGACCAACGACGUCCGGCGGUUCAGUGAACCAGUACCGGAGACAAUGUCCCCUUUGAUUACACCCAAUCUUUCUACCGUCUCUGUCCUGCCAUUUUAUGCUACAAGAGAUUCCUUUAUGACUUAAUCACCCUCCCCGGUCCGGUGAUAAGCUCGACAGGACUGCCUCGGUUCCCGGUUCAGCCCCUGAUGAGGAAUUCGAUCGGUUGGCAGAUUGAUGCUACAUUGCUACUGUAGUGGAUGAGCUUCUGGAAUGCUUCAAGAAGUAAUUUCUACUUUUGAUGAUACCGGUUGAGAUUGUGAAUGCUGCCUAAGAAUUCUCUUCCUAGCAGCACUUUGGUAGAGGCAUUUCCAACUCAUCCACAGAAGAACCAGAUGCUGCAGCUCUUGGCUGCCGGGGUGCUGUGUUGAUCGGGCAUCUCAGCUUCAAAGGCAAAUGAUCAUGUGUGGCAGUGGUUCAAGGAUCCCAGAUUGAAUGGCUUGGUUUUAGGGGGAUCUUUCCAUCAAAUACAAUACCACCAUUGGUCAAGUCUGAUAAGGAAGGUUGGAGAAGGGGGUUGCAAAGGGCUUGACCAAGACUCCUAAAGGUACAUCCAUUUUAUGAGUAGGCCACUAGACCAGGAGCAAAGGUCAUUGAGAGUGCAUCCAACAAGAAGCCUGGGAUUGUGACAACAGCACUUGUGAUGUCAUGGGAUGGGUCCGUUGAGGCUAGAGGAAGCCUUUAAAGGAACAGGUACCUUGAGUAACAAAGGGCAGGAUGACAUGAAAUUUGAAGCUAUUAGACCAAAAUGGUGGCCUACUAAAUGGUUUUCCUGAGCAUCAAGAGCACCAUGCGGUUGCUUAGAGUUGUGAUUUUUCAAUCAACCUUGGGUCUGACAAUCUAAGUCCAAGUCCAAUGGAAUACCAACUGCAUCAAGAUAAUAAAAACUCAUGGAUUUUUUCCUUAUUUUCUGCACUUUUUUUCCAAUCAAAACUCCCCCAUGAAUUUGAUAAAGAACCACCUGAUUGGUUACCACUUUUGUUAUACUGGUUGAUUGGUUACAAGUUUUUACCGUGUCAUAGUUGAACCCCACUUGAAAUUGAUAUCUUAGGUUGUUUAGAAACAAUGGAAUGUGUUUAUCUUCUUGAAAACCUGAGAGUAUUUUAUUGAUAACCAAUAACAGAUUAUAUUUUGAAGGAUGAAGUUAAUGAUCUAACAUGCAAGGCUUUAAAAGACUAGGUGGAGAGACAAGGCAAUUGGACUGGAGGGGUUUGGCCCAGACCUGAAUGUGUUUUGAGGCUAAAAGAAUCCAAACAUUACACACAACAAAAGACCAAUAAAACAGUCAGUUAAGGCUGUGUUUCG